Molecule: long non-coding RNA, 310 nt
Filed under: Bos taurus (domestic cattle)
Lineage: Eukaryota; Metazoa; Chordata; Mammalia; Artiodactyla; Bovidae
Description: long non-coding RNA NONBTAT026682
Source: RNAcentral
GGUGGUUUAGUUGUAGUGUCAAAAUGUUUACUUUGAAUAGGGUUAAAUUUGCUGAAGAGUGAUGGCCUGCCCUUGUCCAUAUACCUAGUUCAGGAAAAAGGACUUGGCUAACAUUUAUCUAGCCCAGGAAUUUAGUAUAUAAUGUUACUUAGCCUGUAGGAAUCAGGAUAAAAAGUUAAAGAUGGUUGGGUGGAACUGUCAGCAACUUCCUUUUUAGGGUUAUCCACUAUAGUUCUAAACAGGCUUAGUCUCCCCUACCAUCAGGAACCUUGAAUGUGGUGUGGAAAUGGCCUCCAGGGGAGGAACUAUG